Molecule: ribosomal RNA, 439 nt
Filed under: uncultured bacterium
Lineage: Bacteria
Description: partial 16S ribosomal RNA
Rfam family: Bacterial small subunit ribosomal RNA
Source: RNAcentral
CUACGGGCGGCACCAGUGAGGAAUAUUGCACAAUGGGGGAAACCCUGAUGCAGCAACGCCGCGUGGAGGAUGACGCAUUUCGGUGUGUAAACUCCUUUUAUGAGUCAAGAAAAUGACGGUAGCUCAUGAAUAAGCACCGGCUAACUCCGUGCCAGCAGCCGCGGUAAUACGGAGGGUGCAAGCGUUACUCGGAAUCACUGGGCGUAAAGGACGCGUAGGCGGGAUGUCAAGUCAGGUGUGAAAUCCUAUGGCUCAACCAUAGAACUGCACUUGAAACUGGCAACCUAGAGUAUGGGAGGGGGGGGUGGAAUUAGGGGUGUAGGGGUAAAAUCCGUAGAUAUCAACAGGAAUACCGAAAGCGAAGGCGAUCUCCUGGAACAUUACUGACGCUAAGGCGUGAAAGCGUGGGGAGCAAACAGGAUUAGAUACCCCGGUAGUC